UCAGUGCGCAUGCGCGCCUCUGCUGGUGGCUCCGCGCCUGCCUGCCCAGCAGCUUGUGCGCUUCUCUCAGGCCCUUCCAGAUUCUAAGACGCACAACAGUGGACUUACUGUGUCCUAGAAUUGUUGUUCUACAUCUGUAUGAAGCUUUUUGUAAAGUCUUGUGUAAGCUGUUAAAUUUUACCUGUUGGCGGACUGAUGGUCCUUAUACUGGAGGUAGAUGCUGGACUGAUCAUUUGCGUCUGACUUUCUUGUUUACAAAGUGAGUGUGUGGCAGCUUCGAAACCUGGGACUUAAUCCAGCUGACGCUGGCUUCAGCAUACUGACCAUGGGACCUGGCAGGAUUCCGUGUGCCCAGGACGAGCCGGCACAGGUGGUGAACGCUGGCAUGAGUGACCCACGGCGCCUGCUGCACGGCCAGUCUGCAGACAGAGCCACCGUGCAUCCAGCCUCUGGAAGGUACUCCUGACGGAUGUUCAGAAAAGCAUUUACCUCACCUGCUUUGUUACCUUUUAUAUUGAACAAGCGUCAUACACUCACAGCAAAGUGUCAUCAAUAGCAUUAAACUCCAGAAGUUUUAGCAUAAGCUGUGUCUUGCGCGUCCUGUUCAAUAAGAGGCCCUGAGCUUUGGUGCCCUCACCCCUACGUCCAGAUGCAUGCGAGGGAGGGAGCGCCAUGCCUCGCCCUGCAGGCACUCUUGACCUCAGAGGGGAAGGUUGGGUGAUGGGGGUGAGGGAGGUUGUCCAGGCAACCUGGAGUGUGCAUCCAGAUCCUGCUUCACUUGGGAAAUGUGCCAAUGACGGGGCCGUCGGGCAUUAGUAGAAUUUCACUUCCCUGGACUUGGGGUCUCGGGUGCUUGAAACCUAGUUACUCUGAGGACAUAGAAUCUUUCCCUACUGCCAGGAUUCAGGAACUGAAAGGAUUAUGUAUAUACCAGGCUUGCUAGUGUUUUACGUGAAAUCUUUAUCACUUACUUUGAAAAGUGAAAGUGCUUUCUGGACCUAAAAUUUGUGAAUGCCAAAUAUUAGCUUUGCGUUGCUUCUAUUUUUUUACAGAAAGAGGGUCUACUUGGUCAUUUCAGUAGGUAGAGGGACAUCUGGAAGUGAAGACCUUUCUAUUCAAAAAGAAAUAGCUGAAUAAUUUUUAUUCGAAAUGAUCUUUUGUCUGUUUUCAGCUCUAUUUCUUGUCACUAUUUUUUUGAACAUGUAGUGUAAGUAUUGUAAACUGUUUUAAGUUUAAUUGAAGUUAUUAAACUUCCUGAACUCUUAAUGAUA
Balaenoptera ricei (Rice's whale) is the source of this 1271-nucleotide long non-coding RNA. RefSeq lists it as uncharacterized. The record is from RefSeq and is a predicted model, not a curated record. Lineage: Eukaryota; Metazoa; Chordata; Mammalia; Artiodactyla; Balaenopteridae. The transcript has 3 exons.